CACGUACAACAGUCAAAAAGAAAGAACUGUGGGAGUCGAAGAGAGAGGUUAAGAGAGAAAUGAUAGCGGUGGUUAAAUGGAGAGGACGGAAAUGAAUGGCAAAAGAGAAUAAAGGUAUCAUCAUCGGUACAGAAAGGGCAUAUCGAUCCUCUCGUCUCUCGUUUUCUGUAUCGUCAGUCCCUAGCGCAGUGGGAGCUCAAGCUACACAAGCUGCCGAGAGAGAGAGAGAGAGAGAGCAGCUGCGUUGCAAAGGGGUCAACUCUUAAUCGAAACAUUGGGCUCAUCUGUUUCGGCAAGAGUUCUUGUGGAAUGCUGCUCUUCUCAGAACUUUUCCUCUAGCUCGCCAUGCUAAGAGAUGGCCAGGGCCUAUUCCUCAAGGCUUGAGCAAAAGGAGAUAUGCUGCACUGUAUGUCAGCAAACAUAUCUUUUCUCUGGGUGAAGAAGUGGACGACGAGAUUGUUGGUCAUGUCUAUUUAUUUCUCAAAGAGCAGCUUGAAAUUUCGAAAAUGCCACCUUUGUCUGGAGUACUUCAUGGAACCAUCAUAGGUACAGUCUCAUUAAUGACCUACAUUUCUGCUAUUCCUCUUUUCUUUUGAUGGACCUCUUGCUGUUUCUUAUAUUAAGAGAUCCAAAGAGAUACUUCAGAUGUGAGGAUUUCAGUAUGACAAUCUUGGCCUGGCUUUCUUAUUUCCUGAAAGCUUUAGCACUUCCAUGUGCAAAGGAAAUCAUGUUCUUUGUUGUUUUUUUCUCAUUCAUAAACAAGAGACUUUAUUGCCAAAAGGUUAUAUUAGUGGGAAAAGGAACUAGGUAGAAAAUCAGCAUAAUCCUUUUCUGGCAAGGGAAAUGUUAAGAACCAUUGCACGAAAGAAUAAUAGCAAAAAGACUCAGCCUUGAUAGGUCACACCAUUGUCUUUAGUUCGAAAACCGGUAGGACUCUGCACUAGGUAUUAUUUUUUGAUGUUUUCACAACAGAAUAAAGCUAAUAGAAGGUUAACAUAUCAUCAAAAUUUGAAGUACAAAAUAAAUUGUUUCUGAAACAUGGUGUGUUACACCACUAAUGUAUAAAGUUGAGGUAAAGGUAAAUGGAUAAAGAAGAUACAAAAAGCUUCCUAAUCUUCAUUUGGUGAAAGGCCAUUGCAGUUACCACCAUGAGGACUACGGCGUCCGCUACUUAAAAACAUGCCAAGUUCCGAGUUGCAUCAUUUACUCUGAUAUCUGCUUCUGUAUAUAAUAGAGAGCACAGUCCUUAAGCUGAUAAUUGCAGGAAAUCUUAAUAUUUCAUCUCAAACCAAUGAAGUAAGGUGCAGGUAUUAUCAGUCUAAUCAAGACUCAAGUACAUAGCAACUUCAGAUGGUAGGUUUCUUUGAAGUGUGUCUUAAGUUUCCUUGGCUUUACUUGAGCUUUGAUUUGGACAGCAUAAUGCCCAACCGAUUAGGCACAUGUCUUUGCUGGUAGAGAUUUAAUGCCUCUUCUCUAUUGAGCUCGAAACUUCCAAACUCUGGAUGUUAAGUUUUCCUUGAUAUCAAUUGACUUCAUUUUCUCUUAUUAAGAGUGGGGAUAUUUGGAAAGAGAUACAAUAUCGGGUAUCCUCUCUGGAUUUUGAACAGAUCUAAGGUGGGGUGGUAGCGCCUGCUUUAUUUCAUGUGUUUUGAAUUUAUAUACCGGUCUGAGAAAAGUUAGCUCAGAAUAUGUUGGAGUCGGCUACAGAAAUUCUCUAUAUCAAUUCUGUCCAUUUGAACCUGUGUCAUUCUAAUACUCAACAAUAUAUCUUUUAGGAGUAAGGUUUUUUUAAUGAGUAGAGGUUCUCUGCAUCUCACAAUUAUCCCUGCACUGUGUAGAAACCUCGGAAAAGAAUUAAAUAAACCCUUGGCUAAAACCAAACCAAUGUACAAUAUUGCUACAUUGGAAGGAGCCGCUACAGCCAUUCAAACUGUUCCAAAAUACCCUUCAGAAAUGAAUAUAAAAUAAAAGGCGGAGAAGGGGUCAUUGGAACAACAAUAUGAUUGUGCUAUAUUCUUGUGGAACUAGUGAGAUUGGAAGAAACUAUGUGCAUCAGAGCCCAGAAGGAGCUACUUGCUUGAACAGUUACGGCUUUAACUGAUUGAUGCUAUUACGUAUAGAAUAUCAGCUUAUCGGCUGCCUUGCAGAUUACUAUGGCUAGCCCGACAAUGAAGCUGUACCACUUCUUUUGCUUGUGAAGGAACACUCGGAAAUUAGAUAGCGUACCUUUGAGCAGGAAAAGUGACGCCAUGGAGAAACUACGGAUCAUGCCAUAAUUUAUUUAGGCUUUAUUUCUUACUUUUUAAGUUAAAUUUACCUCUUUUAUGGCUUCUCUGUCAUUCUGAAACAGAAAUAUGAAGUUAUGCAGCAGACACUUAUAAAAAAGAAAUUAUGCAACAUACAUGAGAUCUUCCAGUGAGAUCUGAUAUCAGUUCAAAAAUCCAGGGCAAACAAGCUUAUGAAGUGGCUUUGAUAUCACAAUCCCUUGAGGAGUAUUUGGAGAAGGAACACUUUUUUUAAUCUGUACUUGUAUAGACUCAAAAGACUAUGUUUGGUUGUGCUGUUCUUCUGUGUAGAUGCACUGCAUGUCUAUAUUAUAGGUGUCAAGUCAGAAACUAACUUUGAUAUGGCCCCAUCGAUUGGAAUUAAGUGUGGAUCUAUUUAGUGUUUAA
RNA transcript from Nicotiana tabacum (common tobacco), 2672 nucleotides. RefSeq lists it as uncharacterized. Lineage: Eukaryota; Viridiplantae; Streptophyta; Magnoliopsida; Solanales; Solanaceae. The record is from RefSeq and is a predicted model, not a curated record.